Molecule: long non-coding RNA, 1730 nt
Filed under: Gossypium barbadense (sea-island cotton)
Lineage: Eukaryota; Viridiplantae; Streptophyta; Magnoliopsida; Malvales; Malvaceae
Description: long non-coding RNA (GBAR_LNC021626)
Source: RNAcentral
AGAGCAUUGCCUCCACCCCCCAUUCUCUGCCGUUUCAAGUUCCAAGCUUCUGCCCAUUCGACUCCGAUUCGCAGAGGAGGAGAAGGCGUCAUUGGCGCACCCACGAAGGUAAGUUCUCGUCCCUUUUUAUUUUGUUGUUUCGCUUAUAGAGAAGAAACGGAAAUAAAAAAAACAGAGAAAAAAAUAAAACGAAAAAUAAAGGAAAGAACACCUUCGAAAAUUCUUAGUCUCUUGCUUUUUUGAUUCCUUUUUUGUAUUGAUUGUGCGUCUGUCCUUUUACAAAUGCUAAAAAAUGGCCUUAUAUGGCCGAAUCGAAAGGAAAAGAAAAGAAAAAAUCAAUCAAAAAAUACAUGUCUCUUUUUUCUCUGCCCCUUCCCUUCAUUUUCUUUUUUUGUUACCCUUUUGUUCUCUGAUUUGCUGUCGAUUUGUGUGUUUGCGUUUGUAGGUACGGCCGUACGGAGCAGUGGGCGCGCGCGUACGGAGGCUUGUGACGUGGCUCGACACGCAUGCGAGGGCAGAGGCUGAUGCAGCGCUGUUGGCUGCUGAAGGCUGGCCUAGGGUUUGUCUCAACCAGGCUAGGUAUUGGGCCAUUAGGUUCUGGGCUAGUUUAGGUUAAAACGGGUUGGGCCACAUUGGGUUUUGGGUUCUGUAAUCGGGCUAGGGACUUGGGUUGGUAUUUGGGUAUUAGUUUUAGAUGUAAAUGGACAUUAAUUAUUUUUCUAUUUUAUUUUAUUAUUUGUUUUUUUAUAUGGGCCGGGCACAAAUUGGGUACUACAUAACAGUAAUAGAAUCUAUACAAAUCUGUAAAGAUAGAAGACAAAGGGCAUACCUUAAAUAUUGGUUCGACAAUUCCAUGGAAAACUUUACUAGAACGACCCCGACCUGACCUAAAGACGAGCUCAGGAGGAGCAUCUAUUGGAAAAAAUUCAGAAAAAGCUUGCUUCUUUGAAGAAACUAAAGGGUGAGGAAAACAAUUGAUAAUCUUCUUAUACUUAAUGACCAUAAACUCUACUGACCAUCACAUCAUUUUCGGAUGCCUUAUGAAGAGAUGUCUGGUGAAACAACUAAGAAAGGUUCUACAUGCCUACCUAGGAUGUAAAAACCAUAAACACCUGAAACUAGACCAAGACCAUUAAUCACCAUCCUACAUAUUCCCUUGAACCGUAUAUCAAUGUAACAAACAAGAUAUAUGCAACAACUACAUGACACAUCCAAAUUUGCAGUUAAAAUAGUUUGACAGAAUGUUCCAAAAGGCGACUUAUAUGAGAAUUUCACGCUAUUUUAACAUUUUCCCCAUUAAGAUGGAAAUAAUUGGAUACAGGACAUCAACAUUACGUAUUUUGCAACAAAACAUCAGGACAAGUAACCCUUAGUGCUUCUAUUAUUUUAGAUUUACUGUUCAACCUAAAAUCUUUCACUUUUACCAGUGCAAUUCUAUUUCAAACAAGUUGUGAAACUAUGAAUUACUUCAACACAGAGGAAAUAAAUUGACAGAACUUAAUUUGCUUAAGUAAUUUCCCAAGUGAAUAUCAAGACCGAAUUGACAAAUGCCACACAACUUAGAAAUUAAUGGAGUAACAACACUCAUUUACUAACACAAAACAUUAACCAUGUCACCAUUAGAAAUGAGGAAGAAUUUUCCAAUGUUGCCCAACCAUGGAAACACUUGCUACAAUUGAUUAAAAUACCUCUUUCCCAAGUUGUACCAUGUUAUCAGCAAGUCACCGAAU